GACGAACGCUGGCGGCGCGCCUAACACAUGCAAGUCGAACGAGCGAGAGAGAGCUUGCUUUCUCGAGCGAGUGGCGAACGGGUGAGUAACGCGUGAGGAACCUGCCUCAAAGAGGGGGACAACAGUUGGAAACGACUGCUAAUACCGCAUAAGCCCACGGGUCGGCAUCGACCAGAGGGAAAAGGAGCAAUCCGCUUUGAGAUGGCCUCGCGUCCGAUUAGCUAGUUGGUGAGGUAAUGGCCCACCAAGGCAACGAUCGGUAGCCGGACUGAGAGGUUGAACGGCCACAUUGGGACUGAGACACGGCCCAGACUCCUACGGGAGGCAGCAGUGGGGAAUAUUGCACAAUGGGGGAGACCCUGAUGCAGCGACGCCGCGUGGAGGAAGAAGGUCUUCGGAUUGUAAACUCCUGUUGUUGAGGAAGAUAAUGACGGUACUCA
RNAcentral lists this ribosomal RNA (440 nucleotides) under uncultured bacterium. RNAcentral's name for it is "bacterial SSU rRNA". It matches the Rfam family "Bacterial small subunit ribosomal RNA", at positions 28 to 481 of the family's 1533-position model. The record is from RNAcentral.